ACAGUGGACGCGAGCAUCUGUGGCCAAGUUUUUAAGGGCGCACGGUGGAUGCCUUGGCACCAGGAACCGAUGAAGGACGUGGGAGGCCACGAUAGUCCCCGGGGAGCUGUCAACCAAGCUUUGAUCCGGGGGUUUCCGAAUGGGGAAACCCGGCAGUCGUCAUGGGCUGUCACCCGCUGCUGAACACAUAGGCAGUGUGGAGGGAACGAGGGGAAGUGAAACAUCUCAGUACCCUCAGGAAGAGAAAACAACCGUGAUUCCGGGAGUAGUGGCGAGCGAAACUGGAUGAGGCCAAACCGUAUGCGUGUGAUACCCGGCAGGGGUUGCGCAUGCGGGGUUGUGGGAUCUCUCUUUCAUAGUCUGCCGGCUGUGAGACGAGUCAGAAACCGUUGAUGUAGGCGAAGGACAUGCGAAAGGUCCGGCGUAGAGGGUAAGACCCCCGUAGCUGAAACAUCAGCGGCUUGUUUGAGAGACACCCAAGUAGCACGGGGCCCGAGAAAUCCCGUGUGAAUCUGGCGGGACCACCCGCUAAGCCUAAAUAUUCCCUGGUGACCGAUAGCGGAUAGUACCGUGAGGGAAUGGUGAAAAGUACCGCGGGAGCGGAGUGAAAUAGUACCUGAAACCGUGUGCCUACAAGCCGUGGGAGCGUCGCUGCAUGGCUUGCACUGCAGUCGUGACUGCGUGCCUUUUGAAGAAUGAGCCUGCGAGUUAGCGGUGUGUAGCGAGGUUAACCCGUGUGGGGAAGCCGUAGCGAAAGCGAGUCCGAACAGGGCGUUUGAGUUGCACGCUCUAGACCCGAAGCGGAGUGAUCUAGCCAUGGGCAGGUUGAAGCGGAGGUAAGACUUCGUGGAGGACCGAACCCACCAGGGUUGAAAACCUGGGGGAUGACCUGUGGUUAGGGGUGAAAGGCCAAUCAAACUCCGUGAUAGCUGGUUCUCCCCGAAAUGCAUUUAGGUGCAGCGUCGUGUGUUUCUUGCCGGAGGUAGAGCACUGGAUAGGCGAUGGGCCCUACCGGGUUACUGACCUUAGCCAAACUCCGAAUGCCGGUAAGUGAGAGCGCGGCAGUGAGACUGUGGGGGAUAAGCUCCAUGGUCGAGAGGGAAACAGCCCAGAGCAUCGACUAAGGCCCCUAAGCGUACGCUAAGUGGGAAAGGAUGUGGAGUCGCAGAGACAACCAGGAGGUUGGCUUAGAAGCAGCCACCCUUGAAAGAGUGCGUAAUAGCUCACUGGUCAAGUGAUUCCGCGCCGACAAUGUAGCGGGGCUCAAGCGUACCGCCGAAGUCGUGUCA
Molecule: ribosomal RNA, 1289 nt
Filed under: Streptomyces sp. SID4931
Lineage: Bacteria; Bacillati; Actinomycetota; Actinomycetes; Kitasatosporales; Streptomycetaceae
Description: partial 23S ribosomal RNA
Rfam family: Bacterial large subunit ribosomal RNA
Source: RNAcentral